AGAGCGAACGCUGGCGGCAGGCCUAACACAUGCAAGUCGAACGGACCCUUCGGGGUUAGUGGCGGACGGGUGAGUAACACGUGGGAACGUGCCUUUUGGUUCGGAAUAGCUCCUGGAAACGGGUGGUAAUGCCGAAUGUGCCCUUCGGGGGAAAGAUUUAUCGCCAUUAGAGCGGCCCGCGUCUGAUUAGCUAGUUGGUGAGGUAAAGGCUCACCAAGGCUACGAUCAGUAGCUGGUCUGAGAGGAUGACCAGCCACAUUGGGACUGAGACACGGCCCAAACUCCUACGGGAGGCAGCAGUGGGGAAUCUUGCGCAAUGGGCGAAAGCCUGACGCAGCCAUGCCGCGUGAAUGAUGAAGGUCUUAGGAUUGUAAAAUUCUUUCACCGGGGACGAUAAUGACGGUACCCGGAGAAGAAGCCCCGGCUAACUCGUGCCAGCAGCCGC
RNAcentral lists this ribosomal RNA (445 nucleotides) under uncultured soil bacterium. RNAcentral describes it as "bacterial SSU rRNA". It matches the Rfam family "Bacterial small subunit ribosomal RNA", at positions 26 to 518 of the family's 1533-position model. The record is from RNAcentral.